CUAACAAGGAUUCCCCUAGUAACUGCGAGUGAAGCGGGAAAAGCUCAAAUUUAAAAUCUGGCAGUCUUUGGCUGUCCGAGUUGUAAUCUAGAGAAGUAUUAUCCGCGCUGGACCGUGUACAAGUCUCCUGGAAUGGAGCGUCAUAGAGGGUGAGAAUCCCGUCUUUGACACGGACUGCCAGGGCUUUGUGAUGUGCUCUCAAAGAGUCGAGUUGUUUGGGAAUGCAGCUCAAAAUGGGUGGUAAAUUCCAUCUAAAGCUAAAUAUUGGCGAGAGACCGAUAGCGAACAAGUACCGUGAGGGAAAGAUGAAAAGAACUUUGGAAAGAGAGUUAAACAGUACGUGAAAUUGCUGAAAGGGAAACGCUUGAAGUCAGUCGCGUUGGCCAGGGAUCAACCUUGCUUUUUUGCUUGGCUUACUUUCUGGUCGAUGGGUCAGCAUCAAUUUUGACUGGUGGAAAAAGUUCAAGGGAAUGUGGCAUCUUCGGAUGUGUUAUAGCCUUUGUUCGCAUACAUCGGUUGGGAUUGAGGAACUCAGCACGCCGCAAGGCCGGGUUUUUAACCACGUACGUGCUUAGGAUGCUGGCAUAAUGGCUUUAAUCGACCCGUCUUGAAACACGGACCAAGGAGUCUAACAUGCCUGCGAGUGUUUGGGUGAAAAACCCGAGCGCGUAAUGAAAGUGAAAGUUGAGAUCCCUGUCAUGGGGAGCAUUGACGCCCGGAUCUGACCUUUUGUGACGAUUCUGCGGUAGAGCAUGUAUGUUGGGACCCGAAAGAUGGUGAACUAUGCCUGAAUAGGGUGAAGCCAGAGGAAACUCUGGUGGAGGCUCGUAGCGAUUCUGACGUGCCAAAUCGGAUCCGUCAAAAAAAUUUUGG
RNAcentral lists this ribosomal RNA (873 nucleotides) under Laccaria murina. RNAcentral's name for it is "LSU rRNA". It matches the Rfam family "Eukaryotic large subunit ribosomal RNA", at positions 65 to 915 of the family's 3401-position model. The record is from RNAcentral. Lineage: Eukaryota; Fungi; Basidiomycota; Agaricomycetes; Agaricales; Hydnangiaceae.